This 1327-nucleotide ribosomal RNA is filed under the name Neocucurbitaria quercina. RNAcentral describes it as "eukaryotic LSU rRNA". It matches the Rfam family "Eukaryotic large subunit ribosomal RNA", at positions 68 to 1414 of the family's 3401-position model. The record is from RNAcentral. Lineage: Eukaryota; Fungi; Ascomycota; Dothideomycetes; Pleosporales; Cucurbitariaceae.
ACAGGGAUUGCCCUAGUAACGGCGAGUGAAGCGGCAUCAGCUCAAAUUUGAAAUCUGGCUCUUUCAGGGUCCGAGUUGUAAUUUGCAGAGGGCGCUUUGGCGUUGGCAGCGGUCCAAGUUCCUUGGAACAGGACGUCACAGAGGGUGAGAAUCCCGUACGUGGUCGCUGGCCUUCGCCGUGUAAAGCCCCUUCGACGAGUCGAGUUGUUUGGGAAUGCAGCUCUAAAUGGGAGGUAAAUUUCUUCUAAAGCUAAAUACUGGCCAGAGACCGAUAGCGCACAAGUAGAGUGAUCGAAAGAUGAAAAGCACUUUGGAAAGAGAGUCAAAUAGCACGUGAAAUUGUUGAAAGGGAAGCGCUUGCAGCCAGACUUGCCUGUAGUUGCUCAUCCGGGCUUUUGCCCGGUGCACUCUUCUGCGGGCAGGCCAGCAUCAGUCUGGGCGGUUGGAUAAAGGCCUCUGUCAUGUACCUCCUCUCGGGGAGGCCUUAUAGGGGAGGCGUAAUGCAACCAGCCUGGACUGAGGUCCGCGCAUCUGCUAGGAUGCUGGCGUAAUGGCUGUAAGCGGCCCGUCUUGAAACACGGACCAAGGAGUCUAACAUCUAUGCGAGUGUUUGGGUGUCAAGCCCGAGCGCGUAAUGAAAGUGAACGGAGGUGGGAUCCCUUUAGGGUGCACCAUCGACCGAUCCUGAUGUCUUCGGAUGGAUUUGAGUAAGAGCAUGGCUGUUGGGACCCGAAAGAUGGUGAACUAUGCUUGAAUAGGGUGAAGCCAGAGGAAACUCUGGUGGAGGCUCGCAGCGGUUCUGACGUGCAAAUCGAUCGUCAAAUUUGGGCAUAGGGGCGAAAGACUAAUCGAACUAUCUAGUAGCUGGUUCCUGCCGAAGUUUCCCUCAGGAUAGCAGUAACGUAUUCAGUUUUAUGAGGUAAAGCGAAUGAUUAGAGGCCUGGGGGUUGAAACAACCUUCACCUAUUCUCAAACUUUAAAUAUGUAAGAAGUCCUUGUUACUUAAUUGAACGUGGACACUUGAAUGUACCGUUACUAGUGGGCCAUUUUUGGUAAGCAGAACUGGCGAUGCGGGAUGAACCGAACGCGGGGUUAAGGUGCCAGAAUAUACGCUCAUCAGACACCACAAAAGGUGUUAGUUCAUCUAGACAGCAGGACGGUGGCCAUGGAAGUCGGAAUCCGCUAAGGAGUGUGUAACAACUCACCUGCCGAAUGAACUAGCCCUGAAAAUGGAUGGCGCUCAAGCGUAUUACCCAUACCCCGCCGCCGGGGCAAGAUUUAAGCCCCGGCGAGUAGGCAGGCGUGGAGGCUCGUGACGAAGCCUUGG